RNAcentral lists this long non-coding RNA (1508 nucleotides) under Nicotiana benthamiana. Its description in RNAcentral is "long non-coding RNA (NBEN_LNC011399)". Lineage: Eukaryota; Viridiplantae; Streptophyta; Magnoliopsida; Solanales; Solanaceae. The record is from RNAcentral.
AUCAGCAAAGAGCAUACACCAAGGCACAUCCCCUUGGAUAUGUCGGGUUAGAGCAUCCAUCACUAAGGCGAACAACAGGGGGCUCAGCGCCGAUCCUUAGAUCUGCUUAUUGAGCUGUGUAAAAUGAAGCUUAAAUAGUCAAAUACUCAAUUUUCAUGGCAGAAUUCAAUAUUUAACACUACGUAACACUGCAGCACAAAUAUCGAACAUCUAGAAACGAAAAUUAUUUGUAUUUCUGUCACAUAAAAAAGCUGUAAUUUAUCUUUUCUUUAAGCAACUGGGACAAUCCCUCAACUUUCAUGGACAUGUACUUUAUCUUUUCUUUGUAUUUCUUUCACAUAACAACAGGGUUAAGAUAAUUAUAACAAAAACCCAAGAAAACCAGGAUACCGAAGGUAUUUAUAUCCGUACUGAUCUAACUUUACUAUGCACUUCAACACUAUAUACUUCAUCAGCUCAGCUAUGCCGAAGCUAUUUAUAUCCGUACUGAUCUAACUUUACUAUGCACUUCAACACUAUAUACUUCAUCAGCUCAGCUAUUUAGAUUCCAGUUUCCAAUAAUAAAUAACAACAUUAUACUAAACAACAACAACUACUACUACUACUCUCAUGUUGGCAAAAUGAUAAUCCCUUCGUCCCAUUUUAUAUGAUAUCCUUUCCUUUUCAAUAUAUUCCAAAAAGAAUGAUAUAUUUCUAUAUGUAAAAAACAAUUUUAACUUUAAACUUCCAAUUUCACCCUUAAUGAGAUAAUUUAUAGCCGCAGAAAUGCUUAAGGCUUGUUUUAGACGCAAGUUUCGAAGACUAUCUUUCUUCCCUAAACUCCAUGAUCAGCCAAACAACAUCACAUAACAUGGAGGAGUAAGUGACAUUUUUAACCAACAUAAAGCGAAAUUGACAACAAAAGCUCAAUAAAUAUAAUUGCUAGUAAAAAAAAUUGACAUUGACAUUGAUAUUAAAUUAAAACAAAUCUUGUCUAGGAGGAAAUUAGGGUAGAGUUGGCUAGUGGUAAGAUAAUGAGAACAACAGGGACAAUCACUCUUAUUGUGAAGGUGAGUGAUUAUACACAUAUAACAAAAACUAUGGCCACAUGAAGUUAAAAAUGCAUCCUUUAUAAUCUGCAUACAAAUUGGACACAACAAUUCUGGAGAAAUCGAUCUCAAACAAAUUCGGAUUUUUCAAGUAAUGGAGUAGAGGAACUGCAAUUGGGGGGAUUUACUUGAGAUUUGUAUUUUUUGGGAGGAUUUUGUGGUGGGAGGGGGAGCAGGCCCAUAGAGAAAAGUAUUUUGGGGUCUGUGGAACGUAAGCUGCCAACGUUUUGUCCUAUCUUCUUUUCUCUUUGUGUUUUUAACCGUUUUGAGUGAACGUUUAUUCAUUGUAUUUUGCAAAAAUAAACAAAAAUAUUAAAAGCAGUGUGCUUAUUCCGUUUAACUUUUGGCCGUGUUCGAUGCAGACGAAUAGAGGGGACAAUGGAUAUUGAAACUCAGUGUUCCAAAUUCACGAACAAUUGC